GUACGGAAGGCAGCAGGUAGGGGAAUUAUUGCAACAAGUGGGCGACAACGCCUGAUGCACGCCAUCGCCGCGUGUAUGAAAAAGGCCUUCGGGUUGUAAAGUACUUUCAGUCGUGAGGAAGGUGUUAAGGUUAAUAACCUUAGCAAUUGACGUUAGCGACAGAAGAAGCACCGGCUAACUCCGUGCCAGCAGCCGCGGUAAUACGGAGGGUGCGAGCGUUAAUCGGAAUUACUGGGCGUAAAGGGCACGCAGGCGGUUAAUUAAGUUGGAUGUGAAAUCCCCGGGCUUAACCUGGGAAUGGCAUUCAAGACUGGUUAGCUAGAGUCUUGUAGAGGGGGUAGAAUUCCAUGUGUAGCGGUGAAAUGCGUAGAGAUGUGGAGGAAUACCGGUGGCGAAGGCGGCCCCUGGACAAAGACUGACGCUCAUGUGCGAAAGCGUGGGGAGCAAACAGGGAUUAGAUACC
This 463-nucleotide ribosomal RNA is filed under the name uncultured bacterium. RNAcentral describes it as "bacterial SSU rRNA". It matches the Rfam family "Bacterial small subunit ribosomal RNA", at positions 339 to 786 of the family's 1533-position model. The record is from RNAcentral.